GAUGAAGAACGCAGCGAAAUGCGAUAAGUAAUGUGAAUUGCAGAAUUCAGUGAAUCAUCGAGUCUUUGAACGCACAUUGCGCCCCCUGGUAUUCCGGGGGGCAUGCCUGUCCGAGCGUCAUUGCUGCCCUCAAGCCCGGCUUGUGUGUUGGGUCUCGUCCCCCUUCCCGGGGGGACGGGCCCGAAAGGCAGCGGCGGCACCGCGUCCGGUCCUCGAGCGUAUGGGGCUUUGUCACCCGCUCUGUAGGCCCGGCCGGCGCUUGCCGAUCAACCAAAACUUUUUUCCAGGUUGACCUCGGAUCAGGUAGGGAUACCCGCCGAACUUAAGCAUAUCAAUAAGCGGAGGA
RNAcentral lists this unclassified non-coding RNA (346 nucleotides) under soil metagenome. RNAcentral's name for it is "partial contains 5.8S ribosomal RNA, internal transcribed spacer 2, and large subunit ribosomal RNA". The stretch from base 1 to 120 matches the Rfam family "5.8S ribosomal RNA", at positions 35 to 154 of the family's 154-position model. The record is from RNAcentral.